UAGAGUUUGAUCCUGGCUCAGGACGAACGCUGGCGGCGUGCCUAAUACAUGCAAGUUGAGCGCUGAAGGUUGGUACUUGUACCAACUGGAUGAGCAGCGAACGGGUGAGUAACGCGUGGGGAAUCUGCCUUUGAGCGGGGGACAACAUUUGGAAACGAAUGCUAAUACCGCAUAAAAACUUUAAACACAAGUUUUAAGUUUGAAAGAUGCAAUUGCAUCACUCAAAGAUGAUCCCGCGUUGUAUUAGCUAGUUGGUGAGGUAAAGGCUCACCAAGGCGAUGAUACAUAGCCGACCUGAGAGGGUGAUCGGCCACAUUGGGACUGAGACACGGCCCAAACUCCUACGGGAGGCAGCAGUAGGGAAUCUUCGGCAAUGGACGAAAGUCUGACCGAGCAACGCCGCGUGAGUGAAGAAGGUUUUCGGAUCGUAAAACUCUGUUGGUAGAGAAGAACGUUGGUGAGAGUGGAAAGCUCAUCAAGUGACGGUAACUACCCAGAAAGGGACGGCUAACUACGUGCCAGCAGCCGCGGUAAUACGUAGGUCCCGAGCGUUGUCCGGAUUUAUUGGGCGUAAAGCGAGCGCAGGUGGUUUAUUAAGUCUGGUGUAAAAGGCAGUGGCUCAACCAUUGUAUGCAUUGGAAACUGGUAGACUUGAGUGCAGGAGAGGAGAGUGGAAUUCCAUGUGUAGCGGUGAAAUGCGUAGAUAUAUGGAGGAACACCGGUGGCGAAAGCGGCUCUCUGGCCUGUAACUGACACUGAGGCUCGAAAGCGUGGGGAGCAAACAGGAUUAGAUACCCUGGUAGUCCACGCCGUAAACGAUGAGUGCUAGAUGUAGGGAGCUAUAAGUUCUCUGUAUCGCAGCUAACGCAAUAAGCACUCCGCCUGGGGAGUACGACCGCAAGGUUGAAACUCAAAGGAAUUGAC
Molecule: ribosomal RNA, 924 nt
Filed under: uncultured Lactococcus sp.
Lineage: Bacteria; Bacillati; Bacillota; Bacilli; Lactobacillales; Streptococcaceae
Description: bacterial SSU rRNA
Rfam family: Bacterial small subunit ribosomal RNA
Source: RNAcentral